GAUGAACGCUGGCGGCGUGCCUAAUACAUGCAAGUCGAGCGAACAGACGAGGAGCUUGCUCCUCUGACGUUAGCGGCGGACGGGUGAGUAACACGUGGAUAACCUACCUAUAAGACCGGGAUAACUUCGGGAAACCGGAGCUAAUACCGGAUAAUAUAUUGAACCGCAUGGUUCAAUAGUGAAAGACGGUUUUGCUGUCACUUAUAGAUGGAUCCGCGCCGCAUUAGCUAGUUGGUAAGGUAACGGCUUACCAAGGCGACGAUGCGUAGCCGACCUGAGAGGGUGAUCGGCCACACUGGAACUGAGACACGGUCCAGACUCCUACGGGAGGCAGCAGUAGGGAAUCUUCCGCAAUGGGCGAAAGCUUGACGGAGCAACGCCGCGUGAGUGAUGAAGGUCUUCGGAUCGUAAAACUCUGUUAUUAGGGAAGAACAAAUGUGUAAGUAACUAUGCACGUCUUGACGGUACCUAAUCAGAAAGCCACGGCUAACUACGUG
Molecule: ribosomal RNA, 497 nt
Filed under: uncultured bacterium
Lineage: Bacteria
Description: partial 16S ribosomal RNA
Rfam family: Bacterial small subunit ribosomal RNA
Source: RNAcentral